This is a long non-coding RNA of Carassius auratus (goldfish), 1292 nucleotides long. RefSeq lists it as uncharacterized. The record is from RefSeq and is a predicted model, not a curated record. Lineage: Eukaryota; Metazoa; Chordata; Actinopteri; Cypriniformes; Cyprinidae. The transcript is spliced from 3 exons.
GCUAGAAAACCACCCCUUCAUUGUCAUUUUUAGGAUAAAUCAGUUUUUUUAAACUAUAAUCAAAUUUUUAUGUUGAUUUUGAGACCAAAGAUCAUGAAGGAACCUUCAGAAGAACACUGAAGAGCAACUAAAGGAUGGAAGCCUCUCUCUAUAAGUUCAAGAUAUGAAGACAGCAGCAAAACGUGGUUAUGAAGCGACAGGGACAGAAGUGGCAGAUAAGUUUGUUUAAACAAAUUAAAACAAAUAGUUUGAACUGCUUUUAUGGCUAUUUAUUUAUUUAUUUAUUUAUUUAUAAAGCCAGUAAUAGGAAUGUAAUAAAUGUGCUGUUUCAAUAUUAGACAAUAUUAGUUUUUAAAAUAUAAGUUUGAGACUCCUACUGAUUAUAUCCAGAAAUAAUUACCAUAUAUAAAUUUUUUAUACAAUUAAACAAAAUAAGUUUAAUUUAUAAUGUGUAAUUACAAUUCAUAAAAUGUAAACAUCUUAAAAAAUGUGUUGGUCUUAUAUUUUUUAUUCGUAUUAAUCUUUUGAUUGCUAGUCUUUGGAUUUCCGGCGUACUUCCUUGUUGCCAGUUGUCGAAGAGCACGGCCAUUAUGGUUUCAGUUCAGUAUGUGGACAACCAAGAAGGGAUUUCUGAAGGCACAUUUGAAGAAGAUAAUAUAUUUAUCGAGCCUACUGUAAAGCUUUCAGUGCAAUGCAUGGCGAACCAGAGAGGCCUUCAUGGGCAAAUUUUGUAUGAUGAUGUGUCAUACCCCAUCCAUCUCCAACCCCAGGCUGAGCCAGAUAUUGAUGAUGAAGGCAUUGCAGUUGACAUGGAAGAAGAUGAAGGAUGGGAAUUGUACUAAUGUGUAUUUGAUGUGAAAAAAGGUUUAGCACCUCUAGGUUACAAAAUUAACAAGGAAUAAGAUAAGAACGAGAUGACUGUCCACUAAAUUAUAGUUAUAAAUCAAGUUUACAUAAUUCGAUUUUGUUUUAUAAAUAAAAUGUUUAUAAACAAUGUUAGUUUGAGUGUUGAACAAUGACAGAAGGGAAGACAUUACUUUUGUUGCCAAACUUGUUUUCUUAAUAUGAACUUCUUGUAAGGGGAAGUUAUAAUACUAGUUUACUAGUAUUAUUACAAAAGAUGUCUGAAUAAAUGUCCAACACUUUAAAAUGUUUUAAAAUUUACAUGUUCUCUCUUUUUGGAAAACCACCUAAAAAAUAUUGAUGAUGUUUUGUCUGCAGGGGCACACAUAUUUGUGUCCAGUAAAAUGCUCUCUACAUCCCAAAUUGCUGAAAGUUUUAAGCAUAGAAUU